UAUAAGGAUGAUUUAUUUGCAACAGCGAGAUCUAUAUGAUCCAUGAAAACUUCAUUUACGUCGAUAAUCUGAUU
Tetrahymena thermophila SB210 is the source of this 74-nucleotide small nucleolar RNA. It matches the Rfam family "Tetrahymena snoRNA TtnuCD33". Lineage: Eukaryota; Ciliophora; Oligohymenophorea; Hymenostomatida; Tetrahymenidae. The record is from Rfam.